Ornithorhynchus anatinus (platypus) is the source of this 138-nucleotide small nucleolar RNA. The record is from RefSeq and is a predicted model, not a curated record. Lineage: Eukaryota; Metazoa; Chordata; Mammalia; Monotremata; Ornithorhynchidae.
ACCCUCUCAGGGUCACACCUGGAGAGUUUCCAGUACUCUUCCAGUCUCGACUACAGGAGGGAGAGUCAAGUGGAGGCCUACCCAUUCCAUUCCCAGCUUGGGCAAUGGCUAGCGAGUGGAAGGCCAUCUGUGACAAGU